CAUGGCUGUCGUCAGCUCGUGUUGUGAAAUGUUGGGUUAAGUCCCGCAACGAGCGCAACCCUUAUCCUUUGUUGCCAGCGGUCCGGCCGGGAACUCAAAGGAGACUGCCAGUGAUAAACUGGAGGAAGGUGGGGAUGACGUCAAGUCAUCAUGGCCCUUACGACCAGGGCUACACACGUGCUACAAUGGCGCAUACAAAGAGAAGCGACCUCGCGAGAGCAAGCGGACCUCAUAAAGUGCGUCGUAGUCCGGAUUGGAGUCUGCAACUCGACUCCAUGAAGUCGGAAUCGCUAGUAAUCGUGGAUCAGAAUGCCACGGUGAAUACGUUCCCGGGCCUUGUACACACCGCCCGUCACACCAUGGGAGUGGGUUGCAAAAGAAGUAGGUAGCUUAACCUUCGGGAGGGCGCUUACCACUUUGUGAUUCAUGACUGGGGUGAAGUCGUAACAAGGUAACCGUAGGGGAACCUGCGGUUGGAUCACCUCCUUACCUUAAAGAAGC
This 501-nucleotide ribosomal RNA is filed under the name Shigella flexneri. RNAcentral's name for it is "partial 16S ribosomal RNA". It matches the Rfam family "Bacterial small subunit ribosomal RNA", at positions 1044 to 1533 of the family's 1533-position model. Lineage: Bacteria; Pseudomonadati; Pseudomonadota; Gammaproteobacteria; Enterobacterales; Enterobacteriaceae. RNAcentral also lists the same sequence under 3 other names. The record is from RNAcentral.